RNAcentral lists this unclassified non-coding RNA (3377 nucleotides) under Acyrthosiphon pisum (pea aphid). RNAcentral describes it as "large proline-rich protein bag6-B, transcript variant X4". The record is from RNAcentral. Lineage: Eukaryota; Metazoa; Arthropoda; Insecta; Hemiptera; Aphididae.
CAACCCACACUCUAUGGCCCAUUGGCCCACACUCUCACUCCGUCACUACCACAGUCUGUUCCGUUUCGCCUUUUUUCGAUUCGUUUCUGCUGAGUCCGUAUGAAUUCGUUUCUCGAAUGUUCGGCGUCUCCAAACCGUAAAUGUCGCUAAAUGUCCGCAGAACGAUGAUCAAACAACGGUAAUAACGCAGAACCAUCGACCGUCGUACAACCGAUACAAAAUAAUCGCGAGCUCUGUUCGCUAGCCUAUUUCAUUGUGCAGGCACAUUAUCAUCGUAUUGAUUAAACACCGUCGCAGCAUAUUAUUACUAUCUAGGUCCACCGGAAGCAGUACGACCGCGAACGCGAACGCUAAAAUGAUUGAUCUGACAAUAAAGACGUUGGAUUCACAGAAUCACAAAUUUCGAGUUCCGGACACUUUUACUAUACUGGAACUCAAAGAGUACAUUGCGGCACAAGUGAACGUUGCAGUUGUCCAACAACGAUUGAUAUUUUGUGGUCGUGUCUUGAGCAAUGAAACUAAACUUGCUGAUAUUGGUAUUGAUGGAAAAGUUAUGCAUCUUGUGCAGAAAGUUCCUCGUUUGUCAACAACUACAUCUGGAUCAUCAUCAUCUACAACAACUAAUACUACUAGUCGUUCAGGACAAAAUUCAGGACCUGGAUUUAGAGGAUGGCAUACACACGAUCCUACUGUUUUAUUCGGUGCCAUUGGUAUUCCUUCAGAGUUGAUGCAUGCUGGAGAAUUGCCACGUCUUAUAAGUACUAGAAAUCAUGGGACUGGUAAUAGAGUAUCAUUGGCUUUGGAUAUGAUACGCAGAGGCAAUGAAAUAUUAAAUAGACUCGAAAAUCCAACACUGAUUCGAGCCAAUCGACAACAAUCUUCUGCUUCUAAUGCAGAACAAUUGCCAGAAGGGUCACAACAGGCAGAAGCUACAACCCCAAGUGUACCACCAGAAGGCGUAGGAGCACCAGAAUCAUCCCUGCCAGAAUCAUCUGCACCACAAUCAUCCCUGCCAGAAUCAUCUGCACCACAAUCACAAACAGACCCAGAUUCAGUGAAUGUGAGCUAUGAAGUCGAUGAAACAUUCCCAAAUACUGUUGUUGUUACUAUUGAUGCUACGCAUCACAUGAGAAUGCCUCCGGGAUUAAUGCGUCAAGUUCAUAAUCACAUGCAAGCAAAUAAUCUAUUUCCAAUUCAUCAAAAUGUAACUGAAACAUCUGCUGAAAGUGAAGUUUUAAAUGUUCCAGUUGGAGGAUCAACUAACCAAUCUUCAGCUGAACAGGCUACUGGAACAUUACCAUCUUCUACAUCAUCUGAACAAAAUUCAAGGAAUGAUCGUCAAACUUCAGAAAGUAGAUCUACAGUUGCUUUAAAUGACAGACGACGUUUAAGAGAACUAAUUGAAGAAUUGAAUAAAUUAAAUGAAAGACUUCGGCCAUUUUAUGCUAUGUAUUGCCAGUUUAUUGGUGAUGAUCCACAAUUUGAUACUAUAGAAGGUGAACAUGGAUCACUUAGAGCACAAACUGUUUUCAAUGGUGUGUCUGAAGUUAUGCAUUUUAUAUCACAUGUUUAUCACGCAAUAAGUGAUUUAAGAGUUGCAUUGAACAGACCACCACCACGUUCUUUCCAAUCUCGUCCUUGUUUGCUACAAGGUACUAUUUUGCACGCUGCUCAUUCAGUUACAACUACUUCUACAGCUGCACCUCCAUCUACUCAACAACCUACUUCUACCCAAACAACCACCACAAGUCAAUCUAUACCAAGUGUACGAGCUUUUAGACUUGAUUAUGGAGGAGGAAAUGUAACUCCUAAUGUGGUGUCCACUUCAGCUACCGAAACAAAUACAAACACAAACACGUCAGUCGAUCCAAAUACUGAAAGUAAUAAUACAUCUACAGAGUUCCCGCCUGAGACUCCUCAAGGAGUAGAACUUAUGUUUGAUCUUGCACCAGGGUCCAUUCGCAUAGAUUCUGUAGAAGCUGCAUUUAUUAACCCAACUGCUCCUGCGACAACAGGCGUAUCUGCCGCUGUUUCUCAACCACUGCAACUAUCCGCUACUAUUGCUGAUUCGGGAAUGCCUAUUGACUGGAUGGAUCAGAUGAUUGAUGUAAUUUCUAGUGGAGUGCGACGUCCUUUCAUGUCUGAACUGGAUUGGAAUAGUAUACCUACUACUUCUACUCGAACUCCACGUGUAACCCCUAGGACAACUGAUUCAUCAUCGACAACAAAUCCUCCAUCACAAGGCUUAGCUCGUGGACGCUGGGAUUCUACCCCACGUAUGGAUCCAUUUUUACCAUGCAGUUCACACCAUUUUGAAUCAAAUUUAAGACCAAUGGUAUUAGCUAGGCGUUCUGCUCAAGGAACUGACAGAUCUACAUCUUCUGCCACUAGUGGAAAUUCAACUACAGAUACUUCUUCUCCAACUUCUCCUAAUGAAGUAAGAUCUUUUACUAGUCGACGUCCAGGUCGAUCAAGAACUCGUUAUGUGCAAGAAUCUGAUGGAAUGAUGUCUGGUAUACAUCCAAUUUUGACUUGGGGAAGACAGCGUAACAACACAGCUACAACAUCUGCAAACAAUAUUGCUCAGGCUACUGGACAGGGUACUAGUUUAACUGAUGCAUUAGCUGGACAAAUAAGAGUUGGAAUGGAAAGUGUUUUUGAUACAUUGGAAAGAGAAGUAGAUUUUGAUAGAACCAGAGACUUAAAUUUACCACCUGCAAGUAGUUCAGUACCAGGUUAUGAUCAUACAAUGAGUACAUCUACCUCUCAAUCAACUCAACGUUUACCAAAUGGAUUGCUGACAACCCCUAUUGGAGAAAUACCAUACUUUAGAAGUUUAGAGGGUCAAUCUUUAUUGGUAGACUUUUUCUUAAUAUUUUCUCGUAACUGGACCCUACGUGACAUGUUCAGUGUGAAUUUAAUGUCGCAAACUUCAACUCUUAGAACUAAUCCUGUUUCUACACAUUCUGAAGAAUUAGUAAAUUUCAUAUUGUAUAGAGUUAUGCUUAAUCAACCGCCAAGCCCUCAAAACAUCGAGGAUGCAGCAAAUCGCAUAUUUUUGGAAAUCGUGCCAUAUAUAAAUAUUUUUCAAUGUACUGUGCCAACACGUACAAAUAUUAAUGUGAAUGCUUCUUUCCGGCGAUGUAUUCUUCAAAAUCUACGUGGAAUUGUUAUCUCCUUUGAUGAAGAUCGACCGGCAGCCAUUAAUAAUAGUUGUGCAUACAUUGUCCAUGUUUGCUGAAGGAUUUUUAUCAUUGAUAGUUUAUUGCUGUAACAGCCGCCCUAUAUUUCGGCUAUGUAUUUCUGCAGUAAUGCAAUACUUGCCCCUUCCCACAAAUUUACACAUUUUAAUAAUGGAAGAAUUGCGUGCAAAUAUU